UGAGGAAUAUUGGACAAUAGAUGGAAAUCUGAUCCAGCCAUGCCGCGUGCAGGAAGACGGCCCUAUGGGUUGUAAACUGCUUUUGUAUGGGAGCAAUAAGAUCUACGUGUAGAUUGAUGAGAGUACCAUACGAAUAAGCACCGGCUAACUCCGUGCCAGCAGCCGCGGUAAUACGGAGGGUGCAAGCGUUAUCCGGAUUUAUUGGGUUUAAAGGGUGCGUAGGCGGUUUGAUAAGUCAGCGGUGAAAUAUUUCAGCUUAACUGGAAGGUGCCGUUGAUACUGUCGAGCUUGAAUUAGUUGCUGUGGUGGAAUGUGUGGUGUAGCGGUGAAAUGCAUAGAUAUCACACAGAAUAUCGAUUGCGAAGGCAGCUCACAAAGCUAAUAUUGACGCUGAUGCACG
This 400-nucleotide ribosomal RNA is filed under the name uncultured bacterium. RNAcentral describes it as "bacterial SSU rRNA". It matches the Rfam family "Bacterial small subunit ribosomal RNA", at positions 355 to 755 of the family's 1533-position model. The record is from RNAcentral.